RNAcentral lists this long non-coding RNA (207 nucleotides) under Prunus persica (peach). RNAcentral describes it as "long non-coding RNA (PPER_LNC003725)". Lineage: Eukaryota; Viridiplantae; Streptophyta; Magnoliopsida; Rosales; Rosaceae. The record is from RNAcentral.
CCUACCUACCUACUUAUUUCUCCCCUUUCUCAUCUACUAGAUUUGAGGUUUUAAUUGUGGGGAGGUUAUUUGUGUCUAGAUCUGUUUUCGAUCUUAGUUUUUUACCCAAAUAUCCUUGGAUUUGUGGUUUUGUUGGUUGAUCUUUUCUUGUAGGGUGACUGGCCGCAAUCUCGGUUGUGCUCUCUACCUCCAAGGUGGCGAUGACGG